RNAcentral lists this ribosomal RNA (253 nucleotides) under uncultured bacterium. RNAcentral's name for it is "partial 16S ribosomal RNA". It matches the Rfam family "Bacterial small subunit ribosomal RNA", at positions 524 to 776 of the family's 1533-position model. The record is from RNAcentral.
UACAGAGGUCCCGAGCGUUGUUCGGAUUUAUUGGGCGUAAAGGGUGCGUAGGCGGCGCGGUAAGUCGGGUGUGAAAUCUCGGAGCUUAACUCCGAAACUGCAUUCGAUACUGCCGUGCUUGAGGACUGGAGAGGAGACUGGAAUUUACGGUGUAGCGGUGAAAUGCGUAGAUAUCGUAAGGAAGACCAGUGGCGAAGGCGGGUCUCUGGACAGUUCCUGACGCUGAGGCACGAAGGUCAGGGGAGCAAACGGG